This 423-nucleotide ribosomal RNA is filed under the name uncultured bacterium. RNAcentral describes it as "bacterial SSU rRNA". It matches the Rfam family "Bacterial small subunit ribosomal RNA", at positions 355 to 775 of the family's 1533-position model. The record is from RNAcentral.
UAAGGAAUAUUGGUCAAUGGAGGAAACUCUGAACCAGCCAUCCCGCGUGAAGGAUGAAGGGGCUCUGCCUUGUAAACUUCUUUUGUCUGGGGCGAAAAAGCUCGAUUUAUCGAGAACUGACGGUACCAGAAGAAUAAGCACCGGCUAACUCCGUGCCAGCAGCCGCGGUAAUACGGAGGGUGCAAGCGUUAUCCGGAAUCACUGGGUUUAAAGGGUGCGUAGGCGGCUUAGUAAGUCAGUGGUGAAAGACUGUGGCUUAACCAUGGAAUUGCCAUUGAUACUGCUGAGCUUGAAUCAGGUUGAGGUUGGCGGAAUGUGACAUGUAGCGGUGAAAUGCUUAGAUAUGUCAUGGAACACCGAUUGCGAAGGCAGCUGACUGGACCUGUAUUGACGCUGAGGCACGAAAGCGUGGGGAGCGAACAG